RNAcentral lists this ribosomal RNA (481 nucleotides) under uncultured bacterium. Its description in RNAcentral is "partial 16S ribosomal RNA". It matches the Rfam family "Bacterial small subunit ribosomal RNA", at positions 28 to 507 of the family's 1533-position model. The record is from RNAcentral.
GAUGAACGCUGGCGGCGUGCUUAACACAUGCAAGUCGAACGAAGCACUUUAUUUGAUUUCCUUCGGGACUGAUUAUUUUGUGACUGAGUGGCGGACGGGUGAGUAACGCGUGGGUAACCUGCCUUGUACAGGGGGAUAACAGUUGGAAACGGCUGCUAAUACCGCAUAAGCGCACGGCAUCGCAUGAUGCAGUGUGAAAAACUCCGGUGGUAUAAGAUGGACCCGCGUUGGAUUAGCUAGUUGGUGAGGUAACCGCCCACCAAGGCGACGAUCCAUAGCCGGCGUGAGAGGGUGACCGGCCACAUUGGGACUGAGACACGGCCCAAACUCCUACGGGAGGCAGCAGUGGGGAAUAUUGCACAAUGGGCGAAAGCCUGAUGCAGCGACGCCGCGUGAGCGAAGAAGUAUUUCGGUAUGUAAAGCUCUAUCAGCAGGGAAGAUAAUGACGGUACCUGACUAAGAAGCACCGGCUAAAUACGUG